Long non-coding RNA from Dioscorea cayenensis subsp. rotundata (Guinea yam), 1415 nucleotides. RefSeq lists it as uncharacterized. The record is from RefSeq and is a predicted model, not a curated record. Lineage: Eukaryota; Viridiplantae; Streptophyta; Magnoliopsida; Dioscoreales; Dioscoreaceae. The transcript is spliced from 4 exons.
AGUUAAACCAACCGCGCCUUCCAUCUCCUACCCGUCUCUUGGAAACCCUAGCCGCCCCCCUUCCAUGCCUUCGCUGCUUCGCUUCCUUGCCUCCCUCUUCCGCCGUGGCUUGUCCUUUGAAGCCCUGCUGACGUACCCAUGAAUCAUCGCCGUACACAGCCCAAAGAGGGAUAAAUUUGACGAUGGUUCAUGAGUACUUCAGUAGGGAAGGAAGGAUAAAUUUGCCUCUUGAUCUUUUUAAGGAGUUGAAGUAGAGGUUUGGCUGUGAACUAAAUGUGGUUACUUGUAUAUUACAAUGAUCUAUGAGCUCUGGAAAGCUUAAUUUUUCCAUCAACUAUCUGCUUUUUCAAUAUGCCUUUCUGAGUUGUAUAGUCUUGAAUAAUCUCUGUUGUCUUGCUCUGACAGCCUGUUUGAAUGAGCUUCUCUGCUUUUUGAGGAAUAACACAAAUUUAAAAUUGGAGAUUAUGAAGAGCUGUUUAUCCAGUUUUUGUGAACCUAUAAAUGAACUUUUUUUACAUCUUCCUAAGCAUUGGUUUUGUAUCCAGCAAUAAGCGAUUGCUGAGUCCAUUACCAAAUAUUUUUAUUGUGUUUAUGUAUUCACUACACUUAGUGCUGCAUUGCCUCCUAAUCUAGUUUUAACUUUCUUGCAAAUCAAAUGUGGUAAUGUGGUGAUCCUUUCUGCCACUAAUGUUUAUGAAGUGAAAAAACAGUGGAAUUGUCUUCUAGAAUCGGCAAACGCUCCCUUAGUCCAGCUGGCACCAUUCUUCUCAAAGCAUCUUAGCACUAGGCUAUCAGAUGUUGAACUUUCAGAAACUCUGUCCAGAUUGUGGCUUGACUAUCCAGAUCUAAGCAUAAGUUGUCAUUGCAAGGCUAGAACGGGGUCUCUCAUCAUCAAUUUUACUGGAAAGGACCAGACGAGAGUUGAGUUGGCUGCGAAGGUGCUUUCUCAGAAGUAUCAUGGAGCAUUUUCUGAAUUCAAUUUUGGGGAGUUUAGAAAGAAUUCGAAAGGAAGAGCUGUUUUUCUCAAUUGGUGAUGCGCAAAUGUGUUCAACCGAUCAUUCGGAAGACCAAGUUUAUUUCACCAGAAUCAAGGUGGUGGUAUUUCUCCAAGACAAAUAUACCACCGAAUUGUUGGAGCAAAUCAUACAGAAGUAGUUGCAUAAGGAAUUCAAUGCCAGGAGCUUUGAUUCGGAAUUCUCUGCUUUCCCCUGUUAAAUUGCUCUGUUCUUUCCUUUUUCAGUUUUGUUUUAGACAAAAGAUGAAAGAAUCAUCAUAUAGUUAUUUGUAUGACUUAACAAUCAAUAUGUCAUUCUAAUAACCAGAGAUCUCAUUAAACUCUUGAAGCUUUUGCAAAAUUCAUAGAUUAUUGAAAUGAAAUAUCAACAAAGCAGAGCAAACUCUUUGUUUUUCUGUCA